AGCAAUACGUGGCAUACGGCUCAGUAACACGUAGUCAACAUGCCCAGGGGACGUGGAUAACCUCGGGAAACUGAGGAUAAACCGCGAUAGGUCAUAAUAUCUGGAAUGAUUUAUGGCUCAAAUCUACAUGGCCCCUGGAUUGGACUGCGGCCGAUCAGGCUGUUGGUGAGGUAAUGGCCCACCAAACCUAAAACCGGUACGGGCUCUGAGAGGAGAAGCCCGGAGAUGGGUACUGAGACAAGGGCCCAGGCCCUAUGGGGCGCAGCAGGCGCGAAAACUCUGCAAUAAGCGAAAGCUUGACAGGGUUAUUCUGAGUGAUUUCCGCUAAGGAAAUCUUUUGGCACCUCUAAAAAUGGUGCAGAAUAAGGGGUGGGCAAGCCUGGUGUCAGCCGCCGCGGUAAUACCAGCACCCCGAGUGGUCGGGACGAUUAUUGGGCCUAAAGCAUCCGUAGCCGGUUCUACAAGUCUUCCGUUAAAUCCAUCUGCUUAACAGAUGGGCUGCGGAGGAUACUAUGGAGCUAGGAGGCGGGAGAGGCAAGCGGUACUUAGUGGGUAGGGGUAAAAUCCGUUGAUCCACUGAAGACCACCAGUGGCGAAGGCGGCUUGCCAGAACGCGCUCGACGGUGAGGGAUGAAAGCUGGGGGAGCAAACCGGAUUAGAUACCCGGGUAGUCCCAGCUGUAAACGAUGCAGACUCGGUGAUGAAUAGGCUUCGUGCCUUUUCAGUGCCGCAGGGAAGCCGUUAAGUCUGCCGCCUGGGGAGUACGGUCGCAAGACUGAAGCUUAAAGGAAUUGGCGGGGGAGCACCACAAGGGGUGAAGCCUGCGGUUCAAUUGGAUUCAACGCCGGG
Molecule: ribosomal RNA, 849 nt
Filed under: uncultured archaeon
Lineage: Archaea
Description: bacterial SSU rRNA
Rfam family: Archaeal small subunit ribosomal RNA
Source: RNAcentral